AGAUUGAACGCUGGCGGCAUGCCUUACACAUGCAAGUCGAACGGCAGCACGGGAGCAAUCCUGGUGGCGAGUGGCGAACGGGUGAGUAAUAUAUCGGAACGUGCCCAGUCGUGGGGGAUAACGCAGCGAAAGCUGUGCUAAUACCGCAUACGAUCUAUGGAUGAAAGCGGGGGAUCGCAAGACCUCGCGCGAUUGGAGCGGCCGAUAUCAGAUUAGCUAGUUGGUGGGGUAAAGCCUACCAAGGCGACGAUCUGUAGCUGGUCUGAGAGGACGACCAGCCACACUGGAACUGAGACACGGUCCAGACUCUACGGGAGCAGCAGUGGGAAUUUGGACAAGUGGGCGCAAGCCUGACUCCAG
RNAcentral lists this ribosomal RNA (360 nucleotides) under uncultured soil bacterium. RNAcentral's name for it is "bacterial SSU rRNA". It matches the Rfam family "Bacterial small subunit ribosomal RNA", at positions 26 to 391 of the family's 1533-position model. The record is from RNAcentral.